This 3828-nucleotide long non-coding RNA is filed under the name Populus trichocarpa (black cottonwood). Its description in RNAcentral is "long non-coding RNA (PTRI_LNC000480)". The record is from RNAcentral. Lineage: Eukaryota; Viridiplantae; Streptophyta; Magnoliopsida; Malpighiales; Salicaceae.
GUGUGAAUGCAAGGACCUCAAUUGGUUGAGAAAGCUGCAAAGACUUAAGAUUCUUGGUUUCAUGUGGUGCGACUCCAUUGAAGAAUUACCUGAUGAAAUUGGGGACCUCAAGGAGUUAAGGUUGUUGGAUGUUACAGGUUGUGUAUUGCUAAGAAGGAUUCCUGUGAAUUUGAUUGCAAGGUUGAAGAAGUUAGAAGAACUGUUGAUCGGGAAUUUCAGCUUCGUGGAAUGGGAUGUUGUUGGAUGUGACAGCACAGAAGGAAUGAAUGCAAGCCUAACAGAACUAAAUUCGCUGUCUCAUUUAGCUGUAUUAUCAUUGAAGAUACCGAAGGUUGAAUGCAUUCCCAGAGAUUUUGUUUUUCCCAGGUUGCUCAAAUAUGAUAUAGUGUUAGGGAAUGAGUUUACAGAAACAGAAUACCCAACCUCGACAAGAUUAUAUUUGGGUGGUAUAAGCGCCACAUCCUUAAAUGCAAAGACAUGUGAGCAGUUGUUUCCUACUGUGUCUCAAAUUGGUUUUAGCAACGUUGAGGGUUUAGAAAAUAUAGUAUUGUCCUCUGAUCAGAUGACCACCCAUGGCAAUGGGUCGCAAAAGGACUUCUUUCAAAGAUUAGAACAUGUAGAAGUGAGAGAAUGUGGGGAUAUUCGCACUCUGUUUCCAGCAAAAUGGAGGCAAGCUUUGAAAAAUCUAAGGAGUGUGGAAAUUGAUUACUGCGAAUCAUUGAAAGAGGUAUUUGAAUUGGGUGAGGCCGAUGAAGGAAUUAACGAGGAGAAGGAGCUGCCGCUGCUGUCAUCUUUAACGGAGUUACAGCUUUCCAGGUUACCUGAGCUCAAAUGUAUAUGGAAGGGGCCCACCAGACAUGUCAGCCUCCAAAGUCUUAUUCAUCUGAAGUUGAAGUCUCUUGACAAACUGACAUUUAUCUUCACACCGUCCCUUGCUCAAAGUCUUAUUCAUCUGGAAACACUACGGAUAGGAGAAUGUCGUGAAUUGAAGCGUCUUAUCAGAGAAAAGGAUAAUGAUGAUGAAAAUAAUCAGAUAUUGUCAGGGAGUGAUCUCCAAUCUUCAUGCUUCCCUAAUUUAUGUCGACUUGAGAUCAGUAGAUGCAAUAAGUUGAAGAGUCUCUUCCCAGUAGCCAUGGCUUCAGGUCUCAAAAAGCUCCAAGUACUUGAAGUAAAAGAAUCCUCUCAAUUAUUGGAAGUAUUUGGGCAGGAUGAUCAUCAUCAACCUUCCAUUCCUUUCUCUCUUUGCUAGGUGAGUACUUGUGCAUAUUAUUCUUAAUUUUAUUUGUUUGUCAUUACCUUUAUAUCUUUUUUUAUCUUAAUUAUCUUUAUAGUAUGCUAUCUUUCACUAAUGAAAUUCUUUUUAUUGGUUUUGAGAAGAAAAAAAAAGUAUUUCUAUCUUUGUUUUAUGGAAAAAACACAUAGAUCUAUGAACUAGAUAUAAAAAAAGAAAGGAUAGAUAUUCCCAUUACUUAACAAUCGAGGAAAUGAGUGUUUAAAAUUAAGAUAAUAAAAUUAUCUAAUCUCAUUAGAUAAAGCUGUUGUGUAAAUAAGUGUGACUUGUACUCAUGGCAUAGAUAGAUAAAAAUAAUUAAAUAAGUGUAUUAUGCAGAGAUAGUCAUUACAGAUUUUAGUUGGCUAAGAUUGAUCCGUUGUUGAGUUCGUUCCAUUAAUUAUACUUCCUUGCAAGUAUUUUUUUCUCCUUAUUCAUAAUUUUUUUUUAAAAAAACAUUGACCGAUCAUAGCUUUAGAUUAAUGUGUUAUUGGAAGCGAUGAGCAGCUAGUAUCAUUCGUGCAGGUGUCAAAGUGAUCAUCAUCAACCUUCCAUACAGAGACUGGAGGAAAAUGGCUAUCGAAAGUGUUGGUGGAUCCGUUGUAUCUAAGAUAGCGGAGCUCUUGGUGGAACCAGCAAUAAGGCAGUUCCGUUACAUUUUCUGCUUCAACAAUUUUGUUCAAGAAUUCAGUGAACGAAAGCAGAGCCUAGCUUUAGCGAUAGAUCGUCUACAAAAUGAUGUCAAAGUUGCUGAAAGGAAUGCUGAAGAAAUUGAGAAAGAUGUCAGUAAAUGGCUGGAAGGUGCAAACAACGAAAUUGAAGGUGUGAAUCCUUUGGAUGAAAUAGGAAGAAAUGGCAAAUGCUUUACUUGUUGUCCAAAUUGGAUGCGACAAUUCAAGUUAAGCAAGGCACUGGCAAAGAAGACGGAGGCUUUGAGAAAACUUGAAGAAAAUAGCAGAAAAUUUCCAAAAGUGUCCCACAAAACACCUCUUCAAGAGAUAAAAUUUCUUCCAUCAAAGGAAUUCAUGCUCUCAAAAUCGUCAAAAGAAGCUUUCGAACAGAUUAUGAAAGCUCUCAAAGAUGACACUGUCAAUAUGAUCGGACUGUACGGAAUGGGAGGGGUGGGUAAAACCACCCUGGUGAAAGACGUAGCCAGGAGGGCCAAAGAGUUGCAGUUGUUUGAUGAAGUUUUGAUGGCUACACUGUCCCAGAAUCCAAAUGUCACAGGCAUCCAGGAUCGAAUGGCAGAUAGUUUAGAUCUGACUUUACUCAAGAAGAGUAAAGAAGGGAGAGCAAAUGAAUUAUGGCAGAGACUGCAGGGAAAGAAGAUGCUUAUAGUCCUGGAUGAUGUUUGGAAAGAUAUUGACUUCCAAGAGAUAGGGAUCCCAUUUGGUGAUGCUCACAGGGGUUGUAAAAUUCUUCUAACAACACGUCUUGAAGACAUAUGUAAGAAUAUGGCGUGCCAGCAAAAAGUGUUCUUAAGUCUCUUAUCAGAAAAUGAAGCAUGGGCUUUAUUCAAAAUCAAUGCAGGUUUACAUGAUGAGGACUCUGACUUGAACAGAGUGGCAAAGGAGGUUGCGAUAGAAUGCCAAGGCUUGCCUAUAGCACUGGUGGCAGUGGGAAAGGCUCUAAAAGAUAAAUCUAAAAAUGAGUGGGAAGUAGCAUCUGAAGAGCUCAAAAAAUCUCAAUCUCGGCACAUGGAAAAAUUUGAUGACCGAAGAAAUGCAUAUGCAUGUCUUAAAUUGAGCUAUGAUUAUUUGAAGUACAAGGAAAUCAAGUUAUGUUUCUUGCUAUGCUGUUUGUUUCCAGAAGAUUACGACAUUCCAAUCGAGGAGUUGAUGAGAUAUGUAGUUGGCUACGGGUUAUAUCAAGAUGUGAAGUCCAUUGAAGGUGCAAGGAAACGAGUUUAUGUGGAAAUCGAAAACCUCAAAGGUUGUUGUAUGCUGCUAGGCACUGAAACUGAAGAACAUGUGAAAAUACAUGACUUGUUUCGUGAUGUUGCUAUUCAGAUAGCAUCAUCAGAAGAAUAUGGAUUCAUGGUUGAGGCUGGCAUUGGGUUGGAGGAGUGGCCACUGAGCUAUAAAAGCUUUGAAGGUUGUACAGCAAUUUCGUUAAUGGGCAAUGAACUAACAGAACUUCCUGAAGGAUUGGUGUGUCCACAUCUCAAAGUUCUAUUAUUAGGACUGGAUCGUGGUUUGAAUGUUCCAGAGAGGUUUUUUGAAGGGAUGAAAGAAAUUAAAGUUUUGUCUCUAGAGGGAGGGUGUUUGUCAUUGCAAUCACUUCAAUUCUCAACGAACCUUCAAUCGUUGCUGUUGAUCGAGUGUGAAUGCAAGGACCUCAAUUGGUUGAGAAAGCUGCAAAGACUUAAGAUUCUUGGUUUCAUUUGGUGCGGCUCCGUUGAAGAAUUACCUGAUGAAAUUGGGGAGCUCAAGGAGUUAAGGUUGUUGGAUUUGACAGGUUGUGAAAAUCUAAGAAGGAUUCCUGUGAAUUUGAUUGCAAGGUUGAAGAAGUUAGAAGAACUGUUGAUCGGGGAUGAAAGCUUCGAGGAAUGGGAUGUU